Long non-coding RNA from Mirounga angustirostris (Northern elephant seal), 15193 nucleotides. RefSeq lists it as uncharacterized. The record is from RefSeq and is a predicted model, not a curated record. The transcript is spliced from 9 exons. NCBI's taxonomy places the organism in Eukaryota, Metazoa, Chordata, Mammalia, Carnivora, Phocidae.
GGGCCAACUAGCAAGGACACCCGGGAACGCUCGAGAAGAGCCGACUAUGAAGGUCCCAGCGUGUGGGACGAUUCGCGGGCGGGCGCGGAUGUUGUCGCAGGCGUUUAGCGGUAUCAGCUCAGCGCCGAAGUUGCCGCGCCGAUGGGAACGUCCUGAUAGGAAAGCUCUGAGACGUGUGGGACUGAAAAAACGUUGAGGACCUUUGCACUGUGCCAGGGGCCUCCAAGGUUAUAGAGGAUGUGAUUUGUGUUCCGGGGGCUUGAGAACAGUGUAAAACAAUACGUAGGUCCAAGCCUAAGUCCAUAAGCUGUGCCUCGCUUUAUGACAUAGGUGGAUGCUAACCAAGAUCAUAUAGUUUUAAAGCUGGAACUGAAUUCAUUAUCUUCCCCAACUCCCACCCCGCUUCUUCGUUCAGUAAAUGCACCAGCAUCAGAGAAUGUGUUUGGACACUGAAAUCUGCCCAGAGCCUAUGGAAUAGAGGAGAAGAUCACUAAACCAGUGGCUUUCACGCUUCUGUUUCUGUGACCAGUGAGCGUGGCAAACCUUCCAGAGUAAUUGAAAUACAAAGAGAAGAGGUGUUGUCUGGAAGAAUAAGCCAUCUGACUGGAGAGAAGAGCAAAAGAGGAAAUCGUAGAAGGACCUCAUUGUCAUGAUAACAGUUGCUUCAGUUUUCCUCCAGGACUAAUGCACCGGGAUCAGACAGAUGAGAAUUCUCAGAAAUAGUCAGGUGAUCACCCAUCUGAAAGAGGAGACAUGCUACUUACCCCAAUGGAGCAGUGGUUUGUGCAGUGGGCCUCACUCAUGUAACUGAAGAUUCCCCAGUAGAGAAAAAGGACCAGGAGAAAAGGCCAUAUCACAAAAGGGGAGAUUUGGACACACGGGGAGACACCAGGGAUGUGUGCACAGAGGAACAACCAUGUGAAGGGGCAGCAAAGAGGUCACCUGCGAGCCAAGGAGAGAGAGACUUCAGAGGAAAGCAACUCUUCAGGCACCUUGAUCUUGGACUUCCUGUCUGGAACCAUUUGCGAAUGUUAUUAAAAAUUUAUCCGGGGACAACAUUAAAAAGAAAAUGAAAGCAACCACAUAAGCUCAACUCAGUGGCAGUUGGAAGUGGCCUUGUCUAUGAGCAGAACACUGUUGUAUCCCAAUGGACUGUGAGAAAGAGGUUACAGACCAUGACCAGCACACCUUUUUUCUCUCUCACAAAAGAAGUAUGCAACCUCUCCGCCGCAUUUGGCCCGUUGGGACAACACUCGGGGUUGACACAGCUUUCUGCCUCGGCUUCCGUGGAUGUGCGGGAUCCAGGAGGCCGAGACCUCCUCCUGCCUCUCCAGGAUUCAUUGCCCUGCUCCGGGUCCUCUCUACAAGGAUCGAUGCUGGAACCCUGGUCUUCCUGCCCCUGGGGCUGAGUGGGUCUGUCAUAGAAGAUGAGGACUCCAGUGUGGAGGGGAGCAAACCUCAUUCAAAAUGUGCAUGUUUCAAUUCAUGCAGAGAAGAGGCCUCAGUCAGAGGGUCUCCACCAGAACAGCUCCUCUCCCGAAGCGCGCUGGCGUCUCAAGGAGCCGAUAGCAACUUCCGGACUCCGCUGAUUCAGCCCUGGCCCGCCUGCUCCUGGAGGAUGCUUGAUCAUGUCAGCUUCCUGGCUUUAGCCUACCACACUUGUGUCUAUUCCUGUACCCUCUCUUACGGAAUUUCUUCCCAUCCAAACUGAGCAGUCGGGGAAGGAAGUCAAGCAGUCUCUGCUGUAAAACCCUGAAGCAUCCCGAGCUCUCCCAGACUCAGUGACCCCUCCUGCUAACAGAAAGACGGAUGCCAAAGCGCUGGCCCAGGAUCUUUUCCUGAAAUACAGCCCUGCUUUCUAAUUCUGCAUCUCUGCUCAAUUCUGCACAGAGAACAAAGGGAUUUUUAUGGAGGCAGACACACCCCACAUUCCUAGUUUACAGAAUUUAUUUUUAACCAGAACUGCAUUUAGAAAUAUGUGAGCAAUCAUACUAGUAAUAAUAGACGGAAGAGGAGAAGUACGUGUGGAUUCAUCUUCCUGGGUAUGUGUGGCUCCAGUUAAUAUUUAAAAUGGUCUCAAGUUCUCGGAACACACACUGACUGUCUGAUGGGGGAGGCGGUGAGGAGAGAGACAGGUAGGAGUGGGAAAGCUGACCUAGGAUUAAAAAUUAAUUGUGCUCAAUUUUUAAAUGAAAUCGUUGUAGCCAGAUGGCUAUGAAUUUUAAUAUGAUUUUGUAUUUAACUUUUUUUUUUUGAGGAGAUUUAAACUCUAUUAUUCAUCAACUAGGCAAUUUAUGAACUCACAUUUCGGCUUUAAUUCUACCUCAUCACAAGGAGAAUUACAGGGCUGGAAAAACCACCAAUCAUCCUCUGUUGGAAAGAACCACACCCAAAGCCAACCAGGGCAACAGGGAUCCCUAACACAUUUUUUAAGACUUCUAAUUUAAGGUAUUCCACGGCCAGUCUCCCUUGGGAGCCAAUUCUGGUGUUCCAGUCUUCCAUUCAGUCAGCCCCUGCUGUGCUUCCUCUUUCUCUGCUUCAUGGGACUGGGGAGACAGAGGAACCAUCCCCAUCCCAGGCUCCUUCGGGGGCCCGCAGGCCUGUUCCACGGACUGUGAAGUGCAUCAGGCCACAGCCCUGGGCCAGAUGGGGAGAAUGGUAAAUAGGGAGGGCCCUUCCCACUUUGGGUAUAGGAACUAACCUGAUUUCAGAGGCUGGUCCCACAAGGGUGUUUGGUCUAUGUCAGGGCCCAAAGAGAAAAGAAAGACUGGGCAAGGAGUGGUACUACAGGGUCCUCAUUGGAUGGUGUUGGAGGACAUGCAGCCACAGUAAUGCAAGGAUUGUCUCCAGUAGGGAUGUGGUCCUGGAAGAGCUGAGCAUUCAUAAAGGGUAUCAGCAAAUGGAUGAGGGCACAGAGAGGAGUAUGCUUUCUUUUGGGGAAAGAAAUCAGCAAGAAGAAGGCCAGGCAUCAGGACCCUGCGUCAGUAAGCUGGAGGGCAGAAUAAUUAUCAAGUUCUAGAGGGGGGGGCGCCUGGGUGGCUCAGUCGGUUAAGCGUCUGCCUUCGGCUCGGGUCAUGAUCUCAGGGUCUUGGGAUUGAGUCCCUCAUCGGGCUCCCUGCUCACCAGGGAGUCUGCUUCUCCCUCUCCCUCUGUCUCUUCCCCCUGCUCGUGCUCUCUCUCUCAAAUAAAUAAAUAAAAUCUUAAAAAAAAAAAAGUUCUAGAGGGAAGGUGGGAUCCGUUCUGGCCAUUAUGGAUGCAACUCUUCUCAUCAUGCCCACUCUCUCUGGACACCUUAUUAUAUCUGGAGUCGGUAACCAUUUUGAUGACUUCCUAUUUUAGAUCUCCAGCCUCUGCCCCUUUCCUGGACUCCAGACCUUCAUAUCCAGCUGCCCACUGGACCCAUACACUUAACAUGUCCAAAGAAACUCAACAGCUCUCCCCAACCCAUUCCUCUUCCUAUGUUCUUUGUCCCAAGGAAAGCACUUAUUCUCAACUCCUCCUUCUUCUCACCCACCAUAUUUAGUCUCUUGUCAAAUCCAGUUGCAUGUGCCUUCUGAAUAGCUCCUUAUUUUCUCCCCUCAUCUUCACUGCUAAAAUCUUAAUUCUGGUCACCAUCAGCUCUUGCUAGAAUUUUCACUGCAGCCUCUUAUGUGCUCUGCCUGCCUCUAGACGUGCAUGUCCUUUGCCCAUCCUUCCUCCUAAAUGCAACUUUGAUUCUCUCUUCUGCUUAAAAUCCUUCACCUGGUGCCCAUUGUCCCCGGGAUAAAGUGCAAAACCUGUUAAUGUGACUGAAAGGCUCAUGACCUGCCCCGCUUGCUGCCCGUCAUCACCUUGUGCCCCUUCUGCCACAUCAUCCCACAGCUGUACUGAGCUUCUGGCAGGUCCCUGAGGAAGCCCUGAUUUCUCUGGACUCCACAGCUGUGUACAUGAAGUUCUCCCUUUCUUCAUCUGAGUAACUUUUGAUCAUCUUUUGGGACUCAAUUCAAAGUAUCAUCUUCUCGGGAUGCCUGGGUGGCUCAGUCAGUUAAGUGGCUGCCUUUGGCUCAGGUCAUGGUCCCAGGGUCCUGGGAUCGAGCCCCACAUCGGGCUUCCUGCUCAGUGGGAAGCCUGCUUCUCCCUUUCCCACUCCCCCUGCUUGUGUUCCCUCUCUUGCUGUCUCUCUCUGUCAAAUAAAUAAAAUCUUAAAAAAAAAAAAGUACCAUCUUCUUGAGAAUCCCUUCUCUGGGUAAGUGCUUCUCCACCUGCUUCCACAGCCUCUGUCCUCCUGUUCGUCUCCUGUGUGGAUCUUCCUGACCAGACUUGUGAACACCUCCAGGCAGAAACCAGGUCUUUUUCACUGAGGAGCAAUGCAGCAAUGGGGAGACUGUGGGCCUUGAAGUCAGCCAGACCUGUGUUUGAAAACCAAACCUGAAGUAAGACACCCUAGACAAGAUUUUUAUCAUCUCGAGAUCUCUGUGUCACUAUAGCUGUAAUCCUCAUAAGCUGUUGUGACACAGCAUAAACAUGGUAAAUUUACAAAGUACUUCGCAUUGAGCCUGAUACAUCGUAGGUGCUCAGUAAAUGUUGGGUGAAGGGAAUGCAGAAAGAGAAGCUCCAAAUAGGUUUAUGGGCUCGUGGUCACAUGUCAGAGAGGCUGAUGUGGGUCCCUGUGACCUUGGCCAUCUAGGCAGAGAGAUGGCAGGACCGGAUGGAAUUAAGGUCAGACUCAUCUAGAGGGGAAAAGCUAACUGAGCUGAUGGAGAGCAAGACAAGGAAGACCGACAGCGAACACAGGAGGUCUCCGUGAGAUUGCCUGCGGCAUUUGACAGUGACAGGGCCAUUGUGGAAGGCCUGGCUCAAAGGGUCACACUUGCCAAGUGCCGUAAGCUGACAUUGGACAGUAGGAAGCACAUUCUCACCCUCGCUCUGGAGCUUUGAAAACACACUUGGCUGGUCCCCGACUCCGGGUGUUUGGUUUCAAGUACUCAAGUAGACCCAGGACUGGGCAUCUUUAAAAGCUCUUCAGAAAAUGCAGUUGUAGGGGCACCUGCCUGGCUCAGUCAGUGGAGCGUGUGACUCUUGAUCUCAGAGUUGUGAGCUGGAGCCCCACACUGGGUGUAGAGAUUACUUUAAAAAAUAAAAUCUUCAAAAAGAAAAAGGAAAAGGAAAAGAAAAUCCAGAUGUAGGCAGGGCUGAGAAUCACUACUUUUUUUAUUUUUUAAAGAUUUUAUUUAUUUGACAGAGAGAGAGACAGCGAGAGAGGGAACACAAGCAGGGGGAGUGGGAGAGGGAGAAGCAGGCUUCCCACAGAGCAGGGAGCCCCAUGCGGGGCUCGAUCCCAGGACCCCGGGAUCAUGACCUGAGCCGAAGGCAGAUGCCCAACAACUGAGCCACCCAGGCGCCCUGAGAAUCACUACUUUAAAGUGAAGGCAGCCCAGUCCAGGGAGGGGAGGAAAUACCACACCUCACAGAGCAGUAGGGACUAAGUUUGCCCCUACACCCCCAGAGUGUCCCCUGGGCAUAACUGAAGGAAUAUAUGGUGGGGACUGGCUGCUACUUUCUUACCUGCCCUGGUUGGGACUAGCUUCGCAUUAGAGCUGGCCCGUCCACAGACCAAGUGGCAGGGAACAGGGAGAGACAAGGGUAGGGAAAAUGAAGCUAAUGGACACACUCGUCCUGAUCUCAAAACUCCAUCCUGCCUCUCCAGCCCCUCCCCUAAGGAAACCAGGUGCUCUUUGGGAGGAAGAAGGUCCUUUGGGAGGUGAUGGGGUGGAGCACCUUGCUUUCCUUCAUAUCCCCUCCAAGAGCAGAGGGGGAAGCCAGUGGGGAGCUGCUUUUCACUUCUCCUUGGGGAACAGCUCAGAGAUGACAGCGUAGAGCUGAUGGUCAUUCUAAGAAUGUAAGGAAUUUUUUGGAUAAGAAAUGAAUUCCCAGCCAGCUGUAGCAGACUCUUAGUUUGAAGAUGUCAUAACCAAGAAUGAGAAAAAAAAUUUUUUUUAAUGAGGGAGUAACUCAUUAAAAAAUUAGAGUCAGCUGACAUUUAUUUGAAAAAUGCCUAGUUCUCUACUCUGUGAAUUUCCACAAUUUAUAUAUAAAAGGUAAUCAGGAUGAUGAUACCCAUUACAGUUCACAAGAAAUAGCCCCACCAAUAAGAGGCAUCAUGAAGAGACUUCUAGUAAAAGCUGUCCUUUAUUUUAUCACCCUGGUCCUCCCAAGACCCUACAAAUAUCUGAUCAUGCCAACCUGAUCAAAAGUCAUCGAUCAAGGGUUGCAUGCAAUGCUUUGCAUGCAAAAGUCAUGGAUCACUGCUUGCAUGUAAUGCAAACAGCCUCUUUGUCAGCCUCUGCCUGGGAAAAAUAAAAAGAGAGGGCCAUGAAUCACUAAGAAGUAAAAACGAAAUCUCCUCCCCUGGACUUUCAAUACAGAGGCAUAGCCCAGGAGAGGAAAGCAAAUGAAAUUAAAAAAACCCCAAAGGAUGAGAGGAUAACCUGUUACUAACCUUGAUGUGUCCCCACCCCCCCUAGCCCCACCCCACCUCCAACACCUUCAUACACCUAUAUACACCUUUUGCCACCUUACUGUAAACUCAGUGCAGUACAAAACUACAGCUUUUGUGCCCACAAAAUACUCCCUACCCACCCCCACCCCCCAAAAGCAGGAAAUUUUGUAAAGUGGUUCACGAUCCUAGAAGGUACCUAAUUGUAGAGAGACUUGAAAAUAAAGGGUCUCCCGUUCCCUGUGGGCAGGGACUCAACACAGACUAUCUUAGUUCAAUCAUCUCUUCCUUUUUGGAAAUUAACAGCUCAAGUCUCUAUUGAUUUAACAUGCUGUCCCUGUGAUGCAGUGGGGAUUUCACACAAGUAACGAGGACAGGCUGUUCUGUGAUUAUUUAACCCUUCCGGUCCUUUGUUUUUGUAAUUUUCUCUAAAAUGAAACAACUCAAAUAUGUGAAUCUAUUAGAGGGAACAAGACCAACUCUUGUGGUUCCUCUUGUACUUUAAAUAUAUAUAUUAUUGAAAUGUAUUGUAGCAGUAAGAAAAUUUCAGUCUGUAUCUCUGCAAUGUACUCUGAACCCCAGAUAGUCCUGUAAAGGAGCAGGCUCCAUAAUACAGUAGGACAUUAAGCAAGAGACAGGACAGGGAAUGAGAGGGGGGGCAGUGCACAUGCUCCUUAAUUUUCUUUCCUAGGUCUCUGCCUCUUUGCCUUUGAGUAGUCUGGGGCUGUGCUUGCUUGUGAUGAUAUCAGCUUGCUGAAGGUAAAAUUACGAUGGUAGACUAAAUCAGGCCCCUACACUUCAGUGUAGGGAGAAGGAGGAUGAGGGACGAAAAGAAGCUGGAGCUGCUGUUUAAAGUACCGUAGAGUAAUUGUCAGGAUCGAUCAAUUACUUUAUACAAAAUUGAAUUUGUCAGGGAGGAUUCUUCCCUUUGCGGAAGGAAGAAGCAAAGUCCUUUAUUCCUCAUGAUUUCAAGGACAAGGAAGGUGUUCUAAAUUAGGGGAAGGGGGGAAUAAAAAGAGAAGCCUUGGGGCGCCUGGGUGGCUCAGUUGGUUAAGCGACUGCCUUCGGCUCAGGUCAUGAUCCUGGAGUCCCGGGAUCGAGUCCCGCAUCGGGCUCCCUGCUCGGCGGGGAGCCUGCUUCUCCCUCUGACCCUCCUCCCUCUCAUGCUCUCUGUCUCUCAUUCUCUCUCUCUCAAAUAAAUAAAUUUAAAAAAAAAAUCUUAAAAAAAAAAAAAAAAAAAGAAGCCUUGUUACCCAGGCCACUUAACAGAUGUCCAGUGGGCACCUGCUAUGUGCAAAGACCUGAGCCGGGCCAAGGAAAAGCCCCACCUCUGCCAUGAACUUGGGAGUUGCAUGGGUGGAGAGGUCACCAUGGCAUCCUGGCUUGUGCCAGACAGUGUCACAGUCUCACACACUAUUAUAAGUUAAUCACAUUUGUCUCUGGACUCCUCCUCCCCAUCCUUACCUUGUCGGGGGUCAUCCUGGUGUGGUCAGCACAUUUUGCUCCCGGGGCUCCCGGCCUCACCCAUUCCCUUUCAUUUCCCCCUUCCUGAGCUCAUCUGUCUUAGCUCCUUCUGUAAGUUAGACUCCGAGCAGGGCAGGAGAAAGAGCACCUUGUUCUGUCCUUCCUGGGUGAAUUUUGGCAAGUCAUUUCAUUUCUUUGCAUCUCAACUUUUUCUGUUAAUCAGGAGAAUAGUAACGCUUGGCUUGUAUUGUGAGGAUUCGGUGAAUGAUGAAAGUGAAAUUAACUACAGCAGAUUUUCAUAGAGAAUGUCACACGUGGCAGGCACUGUGCUGAAUGCUCUCCGUACUAUAUCCCAUGUCAUCCUUCCAAAGGCCGGUAACGCAGGCAGGCGUUCUCCUGGUCAUGUACAGGUGGAGAAACUUGAGGCUUAGAGAUUAAGUAAUUUGCCCCCAAGUCAUUGCUAGUUUAUUGGAAGUGUCCAGUAGUCUUACUCUAAGGUCCAUGCUGUUGACCACGGUGCCCACUGCCUCUAUAAAUGCCCCUGUGGGAUGCUAGGUCAGCAGGAGAUCAUUUUAUUAGAUACAGCUAACACACAGUACCGUUUGUUAUUAGACAGAUUUGAAGGUACCAAAGAUCAUAUCAUUUACAUAGAAAGAAUGCAGAGCGAUUAACUUACAUAGAACCACAGGCUUUAGAGGUGAAAGGGUUCUUUGAGAUGAUCCAGGCUUAUGGUUUACAAACUCCGCUUCUCAGAAGCCCUAUACCAAGCUCUGCUUUUAUCUCUUUUAAAAUUUAUUAUUAUUUCUAGGCAGCAUUUUGUCUGAAGAAUAAUUCUAGGGCUUACUCUUUUCUAAUUCACUAUCAUUUUGGGGGGAGCAUUUUCCUGAAGCCAUAAGAGAUAGACAGACUAAGGUUUCCUGACAUCUGGUCCAGGUCUCUCUUCACUCCUCAGUCCUGUCUCUUGACACAAUGUGUCCAAUGUAGUAAAGAUUUGAUAAUAUUAAAAAUGAAUAAUCAAGAGAGGCUUCUUCAAAGAAAUAUCUCAGGAAGCCACAUAGGCCUGGAUGAUCUAAGCAAAGGCAUGGUAACCAGUAAAAAGUAAUGAGGCAUGGUAACAAAUAAUUUUAAAAGAUUUGGAGAGGGGCUUGGAAAUACUGUCAGUGAUGACUAUUAUGAGGUUGUCUCCUGUGGGAGUAAGCAGAGAAAUACCAUCCUAUGAGGCCCUUAAGUUCAAGGAUUUAUUCAUUCAGCCAUCAAUUAUAAAACAUCUACUCUAUACCAGGCGCUGUACUAGGCAGAGGGACCACAAAGAUGAAAAGACAGUGUCCCUGCACUUAAGAGGCUGACUUACUGAGUAGGGGGUGACAUGGCAGAGGCAUUGGUGUGAUGAAAGCAGUGACAGAGAUUUACAGAGAGUCCUGGGGAUACUUGGAGAAUGGACAUCUUAUCCUGGCCCCGGUCGGGAGAGGGUGGUAGUCAGGUAACCUUCCUGGAAGAUAUAACAUCUGAGAAGAAUUCAAAUUCAAGGAGAUUGACAUAAGAGGACAGUGUUCUAGCCUUGGAUAGAAUUGAAUUUGGUUUCUUUCUACUUUGCUGAUGAAGCAGAGAUGGGCCAUCCAGCAGGGCCACAAACCGAUCACCCCAAACCACACCGCCGCAGGGGUGUUGCUAACCAGAAGGUCUGCUUUCAAGUACUGUCAAUAGUUUCCUAAGAUGAUUUCUUCUCAUAGAGAUGAAAACAGCUAUUCUCAGAAUCAGAGCCAGGUGGCAUGUUCCUCAAGUAAUUACUUAGAUCUCACCUCCUGUGUGUGAUUUCUUUUUUUUUUUUAAGAUUUUAUUUAUUUAUUUGAGACAGAGAAUGAGAGAGACAGAGAGCACAUGAGAGGGAGGAGGGUCAGAGGGAGAAGCAGACUCCCUGCCGAGCAGGGAGCCCGAUGUGGGACUCGAUCCAGGGACUCCAGGAUCAUGACCUGAGCCGAAGGCAGUCGCUUAACCAACUGAGCCACCCAGGCGCCCUAAAGAUUUUAUUUAUUUAUUUGAGAGAGAGAGAAUGAGAGAGAGAGCACAUGAGAGGGGGGAGGGUCAGAGGGAGAAGCAGACUCCCCGCCGAGCAAGGAGCCCGAUGCGGGACUCGAUCCCGGGACUCCGGGAUCAUGACCUGAGCCGAAGGCAGUCGCUUAACCAACUGAGCCACCCAGGCGCCCCUGUGUGUGAUUUCUAAAUAGGUGUAUGCUAUGGGAGCCACACUGCAGAGCUAGCAGAUGCUCCACAAAAAAUACAAAAAUGAACUGUAUUACUUGUAGGAGGCUAACUUGCUGGAACAAAUGGACGCAGAGAUACAAUGGCUGAAAUCCAGCAAAAUUUAUCACUCAUGACACAUGGCAAAUAGUCCAAGACAUCAACAGCUUUCUUCUACCUGAGAAAUCAUGCCCCACGCUCCUUCCUCUGAGAUGCCGCUUCCUUGGGACCUCUGUCUUGAAGCACCUGGGUGGCUCAGUUGGUUGAACAUCCAACUUUUGAUUUUUUUGUUGUUUGUUUGUUUGUUUUAAGAUUUUAUUUAUUUAUUUGAGAGAGAGAAUGAGAGACAGAGAGCAUGAGAGGGAGGAGGGUCAGAGGGAGAAGCAGACUCCCUGCUGAGCAGGGAGCCCAAUGCGGGACUCGAUCCCGGGACUCCAGGAUCAUGACCUGAGCCGAAGGCAGUCGCCCAACCAACCGAGACACCCAGGCGCCCCGAACAUCCAACUUUUGAUUUCGGCUCAGGUCUUGAUCUCAGGGUUGUGAGAUGGAGCCCCUCAUCGGGCUCCACGCUCAGCGCGGAGUCUGCUUUUCUCUUUCUCUCUCUCUCUCCCCCCUCUCCCUUUUCCUUUGCCCCUCCUCCUGGUUGUAUUCUCUCUCUCUCAAUUAAUUAAUUAAUCUUAGGGCAUCUGUCUCUCUGUGUCCAAUUAGAGGAAGGGGAAAAUAAGUGUGAACACUUUCUUAAAGAGCUACACCCAGGGGGCCGCCUGGGUGGCUCAGUCGGUUAAGCAUCAGCCUUCGGCUCAGGUCGUGAUCCCGGGGUCCCGAGAUCGAGUCCCGCAUCGGGCUCCCUGCUCAGCGGGGAGUCUGCUUCUCCCUCUCCCUCUGCUUGCUACUCCCCCUGCUGUGCUCUCUUACUUUCUGUCAAAUAAAUAAAUAAAUAAAUAAAUGAGUAAAUAUCUUUAAAAAAACAAAGAGCUACAUCCAGGCCUGGCACGUAUGGGUUCCCUUCAUGUUUUAUUGGCAGAGAUUUGUCACGUGGUCACAUAUGACUUCUGGGGCUGGUGGGAAAUGUAGUUCCAGGCUGAGCAGCUGCUCCAGCCACAACUCUGUUGAUUCAGAUGAGGAAGAUUCAGGUGGACGGCUACUGUCUUCAUCACAUAGAUGGAAAGAAAGAAAAUGGACCAUCACAAAAAAUGUAAGAAUGUUACUAAUAAGAGUGCCUCUGGGGCCCCUGGGUGGCUCAGUCAGUUAAGUGUCAUGAUUCCAGGGUCCUGGGAUCGAGUCCCACUUCUGCCUCUCCGUGAUCUCUCUCGCAUUCCCACUCUCUCUCUAAUAAAUAAGUAAAUAAAAUCUUAAAAAAAAAAAAAAAAAGAGUGCCUCCAGCUCCAGAACAUUUUAUAAUUACUUGCUAGGUAAGGUCAAUACCUGACCACAUGUACCCUUAAACAUUUCAGAUAGAAGCCUGUUCAUAAAUGGAAAACAUGGGACCAUGAUCAGGUGAUUAUAUGUUGCUGGUUUAUCAAAACCUUGAUUAAUUUUUAAAAAAUAUUUAAGAAAUCUGACAACUAGGUAAGUAAUAUUAACAACAGUAAAUCAUGGGAAGGUGUCAGAAUUUUUCAAUCAGAGCAAUUUUUUUCACACCAGCAAAUUUUUUUCAAUGUCUUUCCUGUGCUAAAUACUUUGGGGUUAUAUAAAAAAAAGAUACUGUCGGGCUGCCUGGGUGGCUCAAUCAUUUUGGGUGUCUGACUCUUGGUUUUGGCUCAGGUCAUGCUCUCCGGGUGGUGGGAUCGAGCCCUGUGUCAGGCUCCACAUUCCAUGGGGAGUCUGCUUGAAGAUCCUCUCUCCUUCUCCCUCUGCCCCUCUCCCCUACACUCUCUCUCUAAAAUAAGUAAAUAGCCCCUCUCCCCUAUACUCUCUCUCUAAAAUAAAUAAAUAAAUCUUUAAAAAAAAAGAUGCUGUUCUUUAAAAUUGUAUGUAUGUAUAUAUGCAAUUAGGAGUUAAAUAGAAGUGAUGCAACACAACGAUACUGUUGACUGCCAAAUGGAUUACACAGAAAAAAGGUAGGUAUGGUCAGAAGGCAUAGAGAAAGCCGGAUUCGAGCCAAGUCUUAAAGUGUGGGCGAAGUGUUGAUAGGCAUAAUGGCUGGGAAGACAUUACAUGCACGAAAGGUCCUGAAGCAAAAGAGAAUGAAACGUAUGUGAGGGACAGAGGGGAGAUCGUCAUGAAUGAAGAAAUGGUUAACAGCGAUUCAUUAUGGUGGUGACUGUCCAUGAGCAGGGUGAAGUGGGAAAAAUAGGGAGUUAACCUUCUGCUCCCUAGGUGGAAAUGAGGAAUGAGGUGGAAGUAGGGUGUAGCUUAAAAAGCUCCUUAAGUUAGGCUGGCACACCUCUUUACUGAAACAUUUUGAAAUACCAUUUAAAUAGGUUAAUGGUUAAAUAGGUUAAUUUGGGGGCACCUGGCUGACUCAGUUAGUAGAAAAUGGGACUCUGCAUCUCAGAGUUGUGAGUUCAAGCCCCACAUUGUGCGUGGAGAGAGAGAGAAAGAGAGAGAGAGAUAGACAGAUAGAUAAAAUUUGCUUAUUGAAAAUAUUUGGGGCGCCUGGGUGACUCAAUUGGUUAAGCGUCUGCCUUCGGCUCAAGUUAUGAUCCCAGGGUCCUGGGAUCGAGCCCCACAUCAGGCUCCCUACUCAGCAGAGGUCUGCUUCUCCUUCUCCCUCUGCCCCUGCUCCUGUGCUCUCUCUCUCACUCACUCUCUCUCUUUCAAAUAAAUACAUAAUCUUUAAACAUUUUUUUUUUAAAUGAAAGAAAAGAGGGGCACGUGGGUGGCUCAGUCGUUAAGCAUCUGCCUUCGGCUCAGGUCAUGAUCCCAGGGUCCUGGCAUCGAGCCCCACAUCAGGCUCCCUGCUCCACGGGAAGCCUGCUUCUCCCUCUCCCACUCCCCCUGCUUGUGUUCCCUCUCUGUGUCUCUCUCUGUCAAAUAAAUAAAUAAAAUCUUAAAAAAAAAAAAAAGAAGAAAAUAUUUGACUUCUUUUUUUCAAGUCUGGAGUAGGCUUUAAAUUUAAAGCACUUGGGGCGCCUGGGUGGCUCAGUUGGUUGGGCGACUGCCUUCGGCUCAGGUCAUGGUCCUGGAGUCCUGGGAUUGAGUCCCGCAUCGGGCUCCCUGCUCAGCAGGGAGUCUGCUUCUCCCUCUGACCCUCCCCCCUCUCAUGCUCUCUCUCUCUCUCUCUCAUUCUCUCUCUCAAAUAAAUAAAUAAAAUCUUUAAAAAUAAAUAAAUAAAAAAUAAAUUUUAGGGCGCCUGGGUGGCUCAGUCGUUAAGCGUCUGCCUUCGGCUCAGGUCAUGAUCCCAGGGUCCUGGGAUCGAGUCCCACAUCGGGCUCCCUGCUCCGCGGGAGGCCUGCUUCUCCCUCUCCCACUCCCCCUGCUUGUGUUCCCUCUCUCGCUAUCUCUCUCUCUGUCAAAUAAAUAAAUAAAAUCUUAAAAAAAAAAAAUUAAAUAAAUAAAUAAAUAAAUAAUAAAUUUUAAAGCACUUGAAAAAUAUUUCAGGCUAACAUUAAGAUUCUACUUAGCAUGAUGGUGAUUGGUACGAUUCACUUAAUAAGUAGCCCAUAGAUGAUUGAAUUGAUAAACUGCUUGGUAAACACCUUAAGGUAGGUUUGCAGAAUAACUGCAGGGUAUGCAGAAUUCUAAAUUUUUUAAAUCAAUUUAUGUAUUUAUUUAUUUAUUUAGAGAGAAUGAGAGCAUGAGCCAGGGGCAGGGCAGAGGGAGAGGGAGAGAGAGCUUCCCAGGCAGAUUCUGCACUGAGCGCCAAGCCAGACGCAGGGCUUAAUCUUACAACCCUGAGUUCAUGACCUGAACUGAAAUCAAGAGUCAGACGCUUAACCAGCUGAGCCAACCAGGCACCCUAGGGUAAGCAGAAUUCUAAAGAUAGCCCCCAAGAUUCCUGUCCACUGGUUAUUCAAUCAAAACUAAUCUAGUAAUGCCGCGAAGAGAUUUUGAAAAUAUAAUUACAGUCCCAAGUUAGUUGACCUGAAGAUACAGAUAGCCCUUUCAAGCUGAGCUUUUUCUCUGGCCAGUAGCAGAAGAGGAAGUCAGAGAGACUAAAAGUGAGGGGCUCCACGUGCCAUUGCUGACUUUGAAGAUGGAGACCAUGUGAGGAGUGCGGGUAGCUUCUAGAAGCAGAUAGUGGCCCCUAAAUGACAACCAGCAAAAAAAUGGGGACCUCAGUCAUAAGAUACCAAAUUCUACCAAUAACCUAAAUGAAGUUGUAAGCAGAUUCUUUCUGAGAGCCUCCAGAAAAGAGCCCAGUCUAGCCAACACUUUGAUUUUGACCUUGUGAGACUCAGCAGAGAGCCCAGUUGAGCUGCCCAGACUUCUGACCUACAGAACUAUGAGCUAAUAAAUGAAUGUUGUUUUGAACUGCUAUGUUCAUGGUGAUUUGUUACAUAGCAAUAGAAAACCAAUAUAAAUGGAUACCUGAAUUCAAUUUAAGCAGAGGUGGUGUACUUCAAGACUCCGUUCUAAUCCUCUGUGAAAACUCCUGAUCCUCCCCAGAGUGAUCUUUUUCUCUCUCUAAUCCUAAAGGACUACAUUUUUAUCAUUCUGGAGUUAGAUCUCACAUAUUGCCUGGCACUUUGUGUACCCGACCUUCCUUUUGCCCCUAGGUGGUAAGCUCCAUGAUGGAAAGAAUCAGCUCUUUACAGUUUCUCCUUCUAAAAGUCUGGGAACGUCAGAAGAGGUGGUGGGCAAGCCAGGUUUUUAAGAAUUUUCUGUCCACAAAAGCAAACUAAAUAUUCUUGAGAGGGAGCAAAUGGCUCUCGUUUUCUCUUGGUAAAUAAGACUGAGACAACAUUCAGUUGCUAAGAUCAAGGUUACCGAUCUCCUGUGAGUGCCAGCCUGACUGGGGUGCUAUCACUCCAUAAUGGGCAAACCAGAAUGACUGGUCUGACUCAGAAAGGUAUCAUUGAGACCCUUCCAGUUAUGAGUCUGUUUUAUUCUUAGUGCCAGUUAGAACUCCAC